AUUUAUAAACAAAGCUCUUGCAAUGAGGACUAAACUGCUUCAGUCAGGCAGAGGCAGCAAGAUGGUGUCAGAGACCCAAGUCCUCAUGUCUCUGCUGCUCUGGGUGUCUGGUACCUGUGGGGAGAUUGUGAUGACCAAGUCUCCAGCUCCCCUGGAUGUGUCAGCAGUAGAGAGAGAGUCACCAUCAGUUGCAAGUCCAGCCAGAGUCUUUAUUAUAGCUCAGAUCAGAAGAACUACUUGGUCUGGUACCAGCAGAAGCCAGGGUAGGCUCCUAAGAUGCUGAUGUACUGGGCAUCCACAUGGCAGACUGGGGUCCCUGAUUGCUUUAUAGGCAGUGGGUCUGGGAAAGAUUUCACUCUCACCAUCAGCAGUGUCCAGGCUGAAGAUCUGGCAGAUUAUUACUGUCAGCAGAUUUAUGAGGCACCUUCCACAAUACUUCACAUUCAAACACAAACCUCUGAGGGUUUCACCAACUGCUCGCACUUCACACAGCCCCAGAUGUGUAUACUUCCUCCAUCUGCCAAACAGCCG
Molecule: RNA transcript, 531 nt
Organism: Nannospalax galili (Upper Galilee mountains blind mole rat)
Lineage: Eukaryota; Metazoa; Chordata; Mammalia; Rodentia; Spalacidae
Gene name: immunoglobulin kappa variable 4-1-like
Exons: 2
Source: RefSeq, a predicted model, not a curated record